AAGAAUUUACUAGAGAUCACCAAAUCAAACAUCAAGCCACACUCCGUGUAGAACGUUAUUAGUUUUGCCAAAUCGCGCUGCAGAAAAAUAUGCUUAAAUUUUCUUCUUUUUUCUUCUGAUCAAAGCCAGAAAUUAAAAAUGAAGAGCGACUAAUUUAAGAAAUUUGAUUAUUAUAUCUGGAGCAGUUCUCCGUCUUAUCCAUUCUAUUGAGAAUCACAAUUGUCUUCCUUUUUAAGAGCAUACCUUGAUUAUUCUUAUGUAUCACAAUUGACAUCGACGUAAAAGAAGAGUUAGAAGAGCAAACAAACAAAAAUCUAACAACUCAAUAAUAGCCGCAUAUGUAAUUAAAAUAAGAACAGCAAACUCCGAAUAAAACCUCAAUCGGGAAACCAAAAUAACCAAGAAGAAAAGAGUGAGAAUAGAAAAUAUC
This 430-nucleotide long non-coding RNA is filed under the name Cicer arietinum (chickpea). RNAcentral's name for it is "long non-coding RNA (CARI_LNC002727)". The record is from RNAcentral. Lineage: Eukaryota; Viridiplantae; Streptophyta; Magnoliopsida; Fabales; Fabaceae.